GGCUCAGGACGAACGCUGGCGGCGUGCUUAACACAUGCAAGUCGAACGAUGAAGCACCAGCUUGCUGGUGUGGAUUAGUGGCGAACGGGUGAGUAACACGUGAGUAACCUGCCCCUCACUCUGGGAUAAGCCUGGGAAACUGGGUCUAAUACUGGAUACGACCGAUCUCCGCAUGGAGUGUUGGUGGAAAGUUUUUGUGGUGGGGGAUGGACUCGCGGCCUAUCAGCUUGUUGGUGGGGUAAUGGCCUACCAAGGCGACGACGGGUAGCCGGCCUGAGAGGGCGACCGGCCACACUGGGACUGAGACACGGCCCAGACUCCUACGGGAGGCAGCAGUGGGGAAUAUUGCACAAUGGGCGAAAGCCUGAUGCAGCGACGCCGCGUGAGGGAUGACGGCCUUCGGGUUGUAAACCUCUUUCACCAGGGACGAAGCUAACGUGACGGUACCUGGAGAAGAAGCACCGGCUAACUACGUGCCAGCAGCCGCGGUAAUACGUAGGGUGCGAGCGUUGUCCGGAAUUAUUGGGCGUAAAGAGCUUGUAGGCGGUCUGUCGCGUCUGCUGUGAAAGACCGGGGCUUAACUCCGGUUCUGCAGUGGGUACGGGCAGACUAGAGUGUGGUAGGGGAGACUGGAAUUCCUGGUGUAGCGGUGAAAUGCGCAGAUAUCAGGAGGAACACCGAUGGCGAAGGCAGGUCUCUGGGCCAUUACUGACGCUGAGAAGCGAAAGCAUGGGGAGCGAACAGGAUUAGAUACCCUGGUAGUCCAUGCCGUAAACGUUGGGCGCUAGGUGUGGGACUCAUUCCACGAGUUCCGUGCCGCAGCUAACGCAUUAAGCGCCCCGCCUGGGGAGUACGGCCGCAAGGCUAAAACUCAAAGGAAUUGACGGGGGCCCGCACAAGCGGCGGAGCAUGCGGAUUAAUUCGAUGCAACGCGAAGAACCUUACCAAGGCUUGACAUACACCGGAAUCAUGCAGAGAUGUGUGCGUCUUCGGACUGGUGUACAGGUGGUGCAUGGUUGUCGUCAGCUCGUGUCGUGAGAUGUUGGGUUAAGUCCCGCAACGAGCGCAACCCUCGUUCCAUGUUGCCAGCACUUC
This 1095-nucleotide ribosomal RNA is filed under the name Dermacoccus sp. Its description in RNAcentral is "bacterial SSU rRNA". It matches the Rfam family "Bacterial small subunit ribosomal RNA", at positions 21 to 1127 of the family's 1533-position model. The record is from RNAcentral. Lineage: Bacteria; Bacillati; Actinomycetota; Actinomycetes; Micrococcales; Dermacoccaceae.